UUCUCAUCAUCUAGGAAAAAUUAUGUCCGUGACGACCGUGAUCCUAGUUGCAUAAUACCACGACACCCGCUUCCGCGACAACCACUCCAUGACCGUUAAGCGAGUCGCGACCGUGAUUUAAUUCCUUAUUCCUCUCUUCUUCCUCGGAAAAAGGCACUCCCGUGAAGCUUGCAAUCUUCUUCAAAGUCCCGACGGGGUCAGCCUUCAUGUCCUCGUACCUGAGGAACAACGCCUUAUCGGGUGUCUUCAGGCUCGCGUUCAAACCGCCCAGCAUAUGCUCCCAAAACGGCCCGCAAUCAUCGAUUCCUCUAUAUAGGGAAUCAAACAUCUCCUCGAUAGGCGAAUCCCCCCGUCACGUACCCAGGUUGCGCGUUGCCCAGAAAGUGCCGCAAUGAUACGUGCUUAAUGGUAUAUAUAGGAUGUGUGUUUUUGAUAUUUCCCAACAACUUGAGUCGUAGUGAUCCCGUUCGGAUGCCAGCUUCAGCUGUCGGGACCUCUGAUGGUAAUAAAAAUGGGGCGGCGUCUUCGUCUUUGGCUUAUCACUCCACUACCAGUGCCUCUCCCUACCUUUGCAUUAAGGAAUUGUCUCCCUCAAUUAGAUUUGGACCGCUGCUACAGUAUUCCCCUCCAAUGAUCCGACUGCUUUUGUUUUUCUGGUAUGUUAGCUUGGGAUUCCUUGAGCCUACCUCGGUUGUUUUGUCUGUCUUGUUAACAGAGUGGAGUGGCAGAGGCUAGUUUGAUCGGCAGCCCGUCGUCUUCCUCGGCACGUUCAUAGUUCUGUAUCGACUGAGAAUGCUAAGUUAUUCUUGGUUUGACUACUGACAUGGUCACUGGUUUGAACCGAUCAAGGUUUCUCAGCGGUUUUUGGUUUGACCCUGUCGGCUUGGUGGACUGCCUUCCCUGCUUGCCAGAUUGGUCGACAGCUUGGUGUCCUCCUCGACUUGCCGGAUUGGUCGACAUCCUUCCCCAGCCUUGGCUCUGAUUCUACUUGUCGGAGACGCUUCGAACUGACGAGACCAUGCCUGCCAUCGAAGCCCCGCUGCGCCACCUCCAACAAUAACAUCUCAUUGACGACAAUAUGAGUGUACACGAGAGUCUAGUUGGAGCAGUAGGUUCUCUGGCGGUUCAAUCACCAAUUGUUCCAUUGCACCAGUUAUUUUAAUAUUGUCCUCGAGAUCCCAUGAAUACAACAUCAUUUUGAGCAA
This is a non-coding RNA of Punica granatum (pomegranate), 1205 nucleotides long. NCBI's taxonomy places the organism in Eukaryota, Viridiplantae, Streptophyta, Magnoliopsida, Myrtales, Lythraceae. The record is from RefSeq and is a predicted model, not a curated record.